CAGCUUCAAGCCUUCCAGCUGACUUCGGUCCUCUCGAACCAAAUUACUGUUUUUGUCAAGAUCAUCGUCUGAAACAGUUCUUGAUCUUAAUCAUGGAUGAUUUUGUUUGUGGCAAACUAAGUCAGUGGGGUCUAAGUGAGUGGAUAGAAAGAUUCAAAGAAGAAGGCAUUACCAAGGAAAGUUUUUAUUGUCUUGAGGAUCGACACAUUGAUUCUUUAAUCCCAAAAGUGGGACCAAAUGCAAUAUUUCAGAAGAAAUUAAACCUAUUAAAGCAGGAAGAACAAAACACAAAUGAGGGCACUAAGGAUUUUUCUGUUCCA
Molecule: long non-coding RNA, 320 nt
Organism: Melanotaenia boesemani (Boeseman's rainbowfish)
Lineage: Eukaryota; Metazoa; Chordata; Actinopteri; Atheriniformes; Melanotaeniidae
Exons: 4
Source: RefSeq, a predicted model, not a curated record